GAGGGUAUAGCUCAGUGGUAGAGCCCUUGCUUAGCAUGCAUGAGGUCCUGGGUUCAGUCUCCAGUACCUCCA
Molecule: transfer RNA, 72 nt
Organism: Camelus ferus (Wild Bactrian camel)
Lineage: Eukaryota; Metazoa; Chordata; Mammalia; Artiodactyla; Camelidae
Rfam family: tRNA
About the family: Transfer RNA (tRNA) molecules are approximately 80 nucleotides in length. Their secondary structure includes four short double-helical elements and three loops (D, anti-codon, and T loops).
Source: Rfam